Molecule: ribosomal RNA, 443 nt
Filed under: uncultured bacterium
Lineage: Bacteria
Description: partial 16S ribosomal RNA
Rfam family: Bacterial small subunit ribosomal RNA
Source: RNAcentral
CCUACGGGAGGCAGCAGUGGGGAAUAUUGGGCAAUGGGCGCAAGCCUGACCCAGCAACGCCGCGUGAAGGAAGAAGGCUUUCGGGUUGUAAACUUCUUUUCUCAGGGACGAAGCAAGUGACGGUACCUGAGGAAUAAGCCACGGCUAACUACGUGCCAGCAGCCGCGGUAAUACGUAGGUGGCAAGCGUUAUCCGGAUUUACUGGGUGUAAAGGGCGUGUAGGCGGGACUGCAAGUCAGAUGUGAAAACCACGGGCUCAACCUGUGGCCUGCAUUUGAAACUGGCAAACUGGAGUGUGUGAGAGGAUAGUGGAAUUCCAGGUGUAGGAGUGAAAUCCGUAGAUAUCUGGAGGAACAUCAGUGGCGAAGGCGACUAUCUGGCACAUAACUGACGCUGAGGAGCGAAAGCGUGGGUAGCAAACAGGAUUAGAUACCCUUGUAGUC